AACCUUGAAAUACCACCCUUUAAUGUUUGAUGUUCUAACCUGGCGCCGUGAUCCGGCGUGGGGACAGUGUCUGGUGGGUAGUUUGACUGGGGCGGUCUCCUCCCAAAGUGUAACGGAGGAGCACGAAGGUCAGCUAAUCCUGGUCGGACAUCAGGAGGUUAGUGCAAUGGCAUAAGCUGGCUUGACUGCGAGAGUGACGGCUCGAGCAGGUGCGAAAGCAGGUCAUAGUGAUCCGGUGGUUCUGUAUGGAAGGGCCAUCGCUCAACGGAUAAAAGGUACUCCGGGGAUAACAGGCUGAUACCGCCCAAGAGUUCAUAUCGACGGCGGUGUUUGGCACCUCGAUGUCGGCUCAUCACAUCCUGGGGCUGAAGUAGGUCCCAAGGGUAUGGCUGUUCGCCAUUUAAAGUGGUACGCGAGCUGGGUUUAGAACGUCGUGAGACAGUUCGGUCCCUAUCUGCCGUGGGCGCUGGAGAAUUGAGGGGGGCUGCUCCCAGUACGAGAGGACCGGAGUGGACGCAUCACUGGUGUUCGGGUUGUCAUGCCAAUGGCACUGCCCGGUAGCUAAAUGCGGAAGAGAUAAGUGCUGAAAGCAUCUAAGCACGAAACUUGCCCCG
Molecule: ribosomal RNA, 614 nt
Filed under: Cronobacter sakazakii
Lineage: Bacteria; Pseudomonadati; Pseudomonadota; Gammaproteobacteria; Enterobacterales; Enterobacteriaceae
Description: partial 23S ribosomal RNA
Rfam family: Bacterial large subunit ribosomal RNA
Source: RNAcentral